This 202-nucleotide ribosomal RNA is filed under the name Pachycondyla harpax. RNAcentral's name for it is "partial large subunit ribosomal RNA". The record is from RNAcentral. Lineage: Eukaryota; Metazoa; Arthropoda; Insecta; Hymenoptera; Formicidae.
GAAUUUUAUAUGAAUUAUUAUAAAAUAAAAUUAGUAAUUUAUAUUUUAUUGGGAGGAUAAUUAAAUUUAAAUAACUUUAAUGUAUAAAAACUUUGAUUAAUGGAAAGAAAAAGAUGAUUAAUAAAAAAUUAUUAGAGAUUAAAUUACCUUAGGGAUAACAGCAUUAUAUUUUUUUUUAGAUCAUAUAUAAAAAAAUGUUUAU